This 1135-nucleotide unclassified non-coding RNA is filed under the name Hevea brasiliensis (rubber tree). The record is from RNAcentral. Lineage: Eukaryota; Viridiplantae; Streptophyta; Magnoliopsida; Malpighiales; Euphorbiaceae.
GAUAGAAUAUUCACAUUUAUUUGAGUUUGAAUUUUAUUUUUGUACCUCACCUUGCUCAGGUGCAAGGCAGGCCCCUUGGCGCCUUAGUGCGCCUUUAAUAACUAUGGUUCAGACUUUAGACAAAUUAAUUCCUUUCAAUGAAAAUUAAAAAAAAAAAAAACAUGUAUUGAUAAGAAAGAAAGAAAUAAAGAACCACCACUAAUAGUCGACCAACAAAUGACAGAAUAACAGAUCUCAUCAACCCCCAGCUCCAUGAAUCGAAAUGAUCUAAAUUAUGCCGAUGAUGAAAGUUCAAACCUCUUCCUAAGCCAAAGUAAAGGCCAAGAAGGUUCCUGCAAUUACAGUUCCAGCGAGGAUAACUCUAUCAAACCUAGCAGCAGCGAAGUUGCCACUGGGUGGAGGUUGAGAAGCUGGAGUCUGUGAAGGAGAAGAAGAGGGUGAAGGGGUUGCUGGUGCAGGGGGAGAGGAGGUAGGGGAAGAUGGGGCAGGAGAUGGAGGAGAAACUGGUGAAGGAGUUGGAGCAUUCUUUGGAGAUGGUGUAGGAGCUGGAGACGAUGGAGCAGGCGCUGACGUUGGUGUUGGUGAUGGGGUUGGCGGAGCUGUUGGUGAUGGAGUUGGUGCUGCUUUUGGCGCUGGUGUUGGUGCUGCUUUUGGUGCCGGAGUUGGUGAAGCACCAGGUGCCUGUGCCAUGCAAGAAGCGGCCAAGAGACCCAAGAUCAAGAAAACUUUCAAAACGCAAGAACCCAUCUUCAUCUUUACACAAACUUUGAGAGAGAAAAGAGAGAACAAGAAGAAGGGUUUAGAUUGCUUGAGAGUUUGAGUGAAGAGAGCGAAAAGAGUCGGCAAUAUAAAAAGAGGAGAGGAGAGAAGAAAGGACAAUAAUGGGUUAGAUAGAUGAAUAGAAAUUAAUCAAGAAGAUCAAUAAUGAAAUGUUAAGAGAUUCUUGAAAUUAUUAAACACUGUACGAGAAAAACUAUAUAUUUAUAGUUCACUCACACAUCCAUAGCCUGGGUAACCAAAUUUAUUGAUAAUUAAUCUAUUGCCCUUCCUGGAACCUUCUUCAAAUAUCUCACACACGAGCCCACAACAACUAAAACGACAAACCAGGAUAUGAAACCUUGUGAAGGCAUUCGAG